GGAAACAUCAAAUCCUCCCUACAAGCAUUGACGCUAGUUACCAUACUAAGAGCCAUGAAGAUAUUUUGCCUUCUCUGUGCCAGUCUCUUCUUGGCCUUCCUGCCCAGUUCAGGCAAAGGGGAUUUUGUCACUCUGGGUUGCGUAUUCCGAGGAGGGACCUGUGAAAAUGAUGCUUGCAAGGCUAAUGAAGUGCAGAUUGGGACCUGUUCCAAAACCCAAAAACUGUGCUGUAAGAAACCAAAAUAAAGAGCUGUGUUGGACUGCAGGGAAAAUGCAGCUGAAAAAGUAAAAAUCAGGAACUGAACGUAUG
Molecule: long non-coding RNA, 310 nt
Organism: Sceloporus undulatus (fence lizard)
Lineage: Eukaryota; Metazoa; Chordata; Lepidosauria; Squamata; Phrynosomatidae
Exons: 3
Source: RefSeq, a predicted model, not a curated record